UCAAGCUACAAAGAGCGCAAGGGGAAUGCCUUGGCACCAAGAGCCGAAGAAGGACGCAGCGAUCUGCGAAAAGCCGCGGGGAGCCGAAAGCAGGCAUCGAUCCGCGGGUAUCCGAAUGGGGAAACCCGGCUGAGCAAUACUCAGUCAGCACAUAUUGAAUAAAAUAGGUAUGUGCGGGGAACCGCCCGAACUGAAACAUCUAAGUAGGGCGAGGAAAAGAAAUCAACCGAGAUUCCGCAAGUAGUGGCGAGCGAACGCGGAAGAGGCCAAACCGCGGGUAGUAAUAUCCGCGGGGUUCGGACGGCGCACGGUAUUGACAAACGUUAGCGGAAGGGCAUGGGACGGCCCGCCAAAGAGAGUGAGAGCCUCGUACGCGAAAAUGUGAGUCAGCCAGCCGUAUCCAGAGUACCGCCGGGCACGUGAAACCCGGUGGGAACAUGGGGGGACCAUCCUCCAAGCCUAAAUACUCCUUGGUGACCGAUAGUGUAUAGUACUGUGAAGGAAAGGUGAAAAGAACCCCGGGAGGGGAGUGAAAAGAACCUGAAACCUUGUGCUUACAAGCACGCAAAGCACGUCAAUGUGUGAUGCGGUACCUUUUGUAGAAUGGUCCGGCGAGUAAAUGUAUCCGGCAAGGUUAAGCGCUUAAGGCGCGGAGCCGAAGCGAAAGCGAGUCUUAACAGGGCGAAUGAGUCGGAUGUAUUUGACCCGAAACCGGGUGACCUAGCCAUGUCCAGGUUGAAGUGGAGGUAAAACUCCAUGGAGGACCGAACCCACUCCCGUUGAAAUGGUAGGGGAUGAGGUGUGGCUAGCGGAGAAAUUCCAAUCGAACCCGGAGAUAGCUGGUUCUCUCCGAAAUAGCUUUAGGGCUAGCCUCGACGUAACAUUGCCGGAGGUAGAGCACUGAAUGGGCUAGGGGGCGAGAGUCUACCGAACCCUAUCAAACUCCGAAUGCCGGACAAUGAUCGUCGGGAGUCAGACUAUGGGAGAUAAGUUUCAUAGUCGAAAGGGAAACAGCCCAGACCCACAGCUAAGGUCCCUGAGCAUGGUUAAGUGGAAAAGGAUGUGGAGUUGCACAGACAACCAGGAUGUUGGCUUAGAAGCAGCCACUCAUUAAAAGAGUGCGUAAUAGCUCACUGGUCGAGUGGCUCUGCGCCGAAGAUUUAACGGGGCUAAACCAUGCACCGAAGCUUGGGAACGCGCGCUUGCGCGCGUUGGUAGGAGAGCGUUGAAUACGGGGUGAAGUCGCAGCGGAAGCGGCGGUGGACUGUAUUGAAGUGAGAAUGCCGGAAUGAGUAGCGAGAUUUAUGUGAGAAUCAUAAAGGCCGAAAGACUAAGGAAUCAGAAGGAAGGUUCGUCCGCUUCUGGUUAGCCGGGGGCUAAGGCGAGGCCGAGAGGCGUAGUCGAUGCACAUACGGUGGAGAAUCCGUAGCCGCCGAAAGAUUUAAGUAAAGGGACACUUUGGAAGGGCAUGACCCGGGCGUUGGUAGCCCCGGGCGAAAGGGACCGAAAUCAGAGUAGGGAAGCAUGCUUGGAAAGAGGCGAGAAAAGCUUUACGGAUAUCUAAGGCGCCCGUACCGAAAACCGACACAGGUAGUCAGGAAGAAGAUUCUAAGGCCAACGGGAGAAGGGUAGUUAAGGAACUCGGCAAAUUGACCCCGUAACUUCGGGAUAAGGGGUGGUGCGCAAGCACCCGCAGUGAAAAGGUCCAGGCGACUGUUUAUCAAAAACACAGGUCUCUGCUAAAUCGCAAGAUGACGUAUAGGGGCUGACACCUGCCCGGUGCCGGAAGGUUAAGAGGAGGAGUGAGAGCUCUGAAUUGAAGCCCCGGUAAACGGCGGCCGUAACUAUAACGGUCCUAAGGUAGCGAAAUUCCUUGUCGGGUAAGUUCC
RNAcentral lists this ribosomal RNA (1889 nucleotides) under bioreactor metagenome. RNAcentral's name for it is "bacterial LSU rRNA". It matches the Rfam family "Bacterial large subunit ribosomal RNA", at positions 3 to 1984 of the family's 2925-position model. The record is from RNAcentral.